This 3408-nucleotide small RNA is filed under the name Arabidopsis thaliana (thale cress). RNAcentral describes it as "ATSL202590". Lineage: Eukaryota; Viridiplantae; Streptophyta; Magnoliopsida; Brassicales; Brassicaceae. The record is from RNAcentral.
UGACACCCUUUAAGUUAAUCAAGGAAGCUUUGGUCACUGCCCCAAUAGUCCAAGCUCCAAACUAGGACUUCCCAUCCGAGAUCAUGUGUGAUGCUUCAGAUUAUGCAAUAGGAGCAGUUUUGGGCCAGCGAGCAGAACGAUGGAUGAUACACAAGUAAGGUAUGCCACUACAGAGAAGGAAUUGCUAGCUGUGGUAUUUGCAUUCGAGAAAUUUAGAAGCUACCUAGCGGGUUCUAAGGUGACAGUCUACACUGACCAUGCUGCUCUGAGGCAUAUAUAUGCGAAGAAGGAUACCAAACCUAGGCUGUUAAGAUGGAUCUUAUUGCUCCAAGAGUUUGACAUGGAGAUAGUUGAUAAGAAGGGAAUUGAAAACGGUGUAGCUGAUCAUCUGUCUAGGAUGAGAACUGAAGACGAGGUCCCUAUUGACGACUCCAUGCCAGAAGAACAGCUAAUGGCAAUUCAGCAACUUAACGAGAGUGCUCAAAUUUGGAAAUCACUCGAACAAGUUUGUUCGAUUGAAGAAAAGCUUCCGUGGUAUGCUGAUCACGUCAAUUACUUGGUUAGUGGUGAAGAGCCUCUAAAUCUGUCGAGCUAUGAGAAAAAGAAGUUCUUCAAGGACAUUAACCAUUUCUACUGGGACAAACCUUAUCUCUACACAUUCUGCAAAGAUAAGAUCUACUGGAAAUGCGACUCAGAUGAUGAAAUCGAAGGCAUCCUACUACACUGCCAUGGGUCUGCCUAUGGUGGCCACUUUGCAAAGUUUAAGACAGUGUCAAAAAUCCUGCAAGCAGGUUUUUGGUGGCUGACAAUGGUUAAGGAUGCUCAGGAAUUUAUCUCGAAAUGUGACUCAUGUCAGAGAAGAGGGAACAUCAGUAGAAGGAAUGAGAUGCCUCAGAAUCCGAUCUUGGAAGUUGAGAUCUUUGACGUUUGGGGAAUAGAUUUUAUGGGUCCGUUUCCUUCUUCUUACAGAAACAAGUACAUAAUGUUCGUAGUGGACUAUGUAUCGAAAUGGGUUGAAGCCAUAGCUAGCCCCACUAAUGAUGCUAGAGUUGUGCUAAAGUUGUUCAAGACAAUUAUCUUCCCUAGAUUUGGAGUCCCGAGAGUUGUAAUCAGUGACGGAGGGAAACAUUUUAUGAACAAGGUUUUUGAGAACCUUUUGAAGAAGCAUGGAGUAAAUCACAAGUUAGCCACUCCUUAUCAUCCACAGACGAGCGGGCAGGUGGAAAUCUCCAACAGGAAGAUAAAAGCAAUUCUAGAGAAAACAGUGGGGAUUACAAGGAAAGAUUGGUCUACUAAGCUCGAUGACGCAGUAUGGGCUUACAGAACAGCCUUCAAGACCCCUAUUGGCACGACUCCUUUCAACCUUCUCUAUGGAAAAUCCUGUCACUUGCCUGUUGAGCUCGAGUUAAACUCCUGAACUUCGACGUUAAAACCGCCGAGGAGAAGCGGUUGGUCCAACUGAACGAUCUCAACGAGAUUCGCUUAGAAGCUUACGAGAGUUCCAAAAUCUACAAGGAGCGAACCAAGUCUUUCCAUGACAAGAAGAUAGUCUCAAGAGAUUUUAAGGUUGGUGAUCAAGUGCUGCUGUUCAACUCUCGCCUAAGGCUUUUUCCAGGCAAGCUCAAGUCUAGAUGGUCUGGUCCUUUCUCUGUUACUGCAGUACGACCUUAUGGUGCUAUUACUCUAGCUGGGAAGAAUGGAGAUUUCACAGUCAAUGGCCAGCGGCUCAAGAAAUACAUGGUAGAUCAAUUUAUUUCAGAAGGAACUUCUAUUCCUUUGGAGGAGCCUUUAAACGCCUAAAGAAUAUGAGGAGUCAAGCUAGAGACCUAAAACAAGCUCACUUGGGAGGAAGUCCCAUGCCUAUCUUUGUACAUAUCCUUAAUUUCCCUUGUUUUUUGAUGCAUUUUGUAGUGUUUUCAGGAGAUAAGUAUGAAGAGUUGAGGGAAACGGAUUCUAGCUUUGAGAGAACAGCAAUACACUCGACCACAAAGCAAUCAAGGACACUCGACAUUGUUCUGGCUUCUCCACCCCAUGAAAUCACUCGACCACACUCUACAGGGACCGAAUGACGAUGUGAUCGAGUAUAACGAAUGAUGCAAUCACAACGUCUCCAUGUCAGUAAUUCACUCGACCGCGGUGCUGGCCGCAACAGAAGAAGAGAGGUCGAGUAUCAUAAGAGCGGUGCUGGCCGUGACGAAGGAGCAGAGGUCGAGUACCCCCAGAGGGAAGCUGAGACACAACAGGGAGAUUCUUCGAUGGCCUGGGAGCAAUCACAGGCAGCUAUUGACGACCAACUCCGCUCCUUUUUCCACUGAGGUAAGCACCUCACUUCACCAUUGUAAUAUACCAUCUCCUUUUUUUAUUUUGUUUCUGUGAUGUGUUUUGUCCUGAGUACUCUCUUCCAAAUUUGGUCACAUAGUGGACUGUGUGAUUUAAGUUUGGGGGAGGGCUCAUGAAGUGUGUGUUGCAUUGUAUAUAAUCUUGAGUCUGCAUUCAUCUAAGGCAUAGAAAAAACCAAAAAAAUUGAAAAAUUUCAGAAAAUGAUUUCACAAAAAUAGUGUUUUUGUAGUUGCAUUGCAUUUAGGAUCGAGUCUAGAGGGUUUCAUUUAGGAUUGUUGCAUAUGCAUAGGGGAUAAUGAUGAGAUAGCCUUGUAAGCAUUUUGGUUCACCAGAUAAACUCAGUGCCCUCGUUGUUAGUUGUCUGAUGCGUAGUCAAUGAAAUUGAAGUAAAACUGCACCAUGCCUAGAUUGCUCUACUCGACCACACUGUUAGGAUCUGAUACCAUUCCCUAUCAAUUUGAACUUGAAUCUGAUUUAGAAUUAUCAUGUCUUGGCAUCGAAUUUGAACUCAUGGAUACCCUAAAGUACUUGGAUUUUCUUACUCAUUUUAACCACUCUUGUUAGUCCAAGUAGUUGACUCUCCUUCUCAAUGCAGUAAACCCGAACCCAAACCUAAACUUUCUUUCAAGCCCUAUAUCACUUGUGAGUGUCUGUGAGGUCUUAUUUCGAUUGAGCUUGGUAGAAAGUGUUAGGUUUGUAACGAUAGAGAUAGUGUCUCAUGUAGUUCUAGUUCGCAUGUUUCGGACUGGAUAAGACUAGGUGGGCGCUUAUAUCAUGGGGUGGGAUGUGUUUAAAAGAAAAGGGUGAAUUCAUUGUUGAUAAGGAAAGGGAAAGAAUUCUAAGGGAAGUGAGCUAAAGAAGUUAGAAAAAAAAUCUAGUAAAGGUUUUGGGAAUGUUAAAGAAAAGAAUGAGGUUCUUGUUAGCUAAAGAAGAAGGGUUAAAAGCCUUUGGUUUUAAAGAUUCAAAACAGGAACCUUAGUUGUUAAAGAAAUCCAAAUCCGCUAGAUGUAUCAGAGUGUCGAGAAAGCUUCUCCUAGAGUUAAGAGAAAAGAAAAGAAUGAUAUAAAA